GAAGAGCUCCCUUGUGAGUAGCAUGUGUGAUGUCACGGUCAGGAACAGGGAAGAUUUCAAAUCGACUGUUUGUUAGGAGUCCUAAGAGGCAGAUGUCAGCAGCAGAACAAACUCCAAUCACAGCAGGCUCCUCCUCCUUCUGAAUCCUCCUCCUGUGAGUGGAGGGCUGGGAGAAGAGGCCCCGCCCCCAGCAGAUCACAUGGGCUAGGGGAUCAGGAACAGGAAGAAAGUGAAGACUGCUGCAGUUACUGUGGAUUGGAGUGUCCUUCCUGCAUGCUAACCUUCAACUUCCCAGGCUCUCACUCCCACACCAAACCUAUAGACUACUGCCUGCUCCUAUUCCCAUCAUAGACGCACUGUUCCAUCAUCAGAUAAUGCCCAUAAUGCAGCAAAAUA
Molecule: long non-coding RNA, 396 nt
Filed under: Salmo salar (Atlantic salmon)
Lineage: Eukaryota; Metazoa; Chordata; Actinopteri; Salmoniformes; Salmonidae
Description: lncRNA (ENSSSAG00000104648.1)
Source: RNAcentral